GACGAACGCUGGCGGCGUGCUUAACACAUGCAAGUCGAACGGUGAAGGGGUCUGCUUUUGUGGGCCCUGGAUGAGUGGCGAACGGGUGAGUAACACGUGAGUAACCUGCCCCCUUCUUCUGGAUAACCGCAUGAAAGUGUGGCUAAUACGGGAUAUUCUGGGUCUGUCGCAUGAUGGGUCUGGGAAGGAUUGCGCCUUUGGGUGUUUUUGGUGGGGGAUGGGCUCGCGGCCUAUCAGCUUGUUGGUGGGGUGAUGGCCUACCAAGGCGGUGACGGGUAGCCGGCCUGAGAGGGUGGACGGUCACACUGGGACUGAGACACGGCCCAGACUCCUACGGGAGGCAGCAGUGGGGAAUAUUGCACAAUGGGCGCAAGCCUGAUGCAGCGACGCCGCGUGAGGGAUGGAGGCCUUCGGGUUGUAAACCUCUUUCGCCAGUGAAGCAGGCCUGCUCCUUGUGGGUGGGUUGACGGUAGCUGGAGAAGAAGCGCCGGCUAACUACGUG
RNAcentral lists this ribosomal RNA (502 nucleotides) under uncultured bacterium. Its description in RNAcentral is "partial 16S ribosomal RNA". It matches the Rfam family "Bacterial small subunit ribosomal RNA", at positions 28 to 507 of the family's 1533-position model. The record is from RNAcentral.